This 113-nucleotide long non-coding RNA is filed under the name Callithrix jacchus (white-tufted-ear marmoset). RNAcentral describes it as "lncRNA (ENSCJAG00000074298.1)". The record is from RNAcentral. Lineage: Eukaryota; Metazoa; Chordata; Mammalia; Primates; Cebidae.
GAGAGGCUGUGGAUUUGCUGGGAAGGAUAAAGUGACGUCCCAGUGCUAAUUUCUGGUGAAGGAGGGAAAAGACCGCCUGUGCCCAGAAUGUCACUCUUCAGAAGGUGAGAAAA